This 403-nucleotide ribosomal RNA is filed under the name Nostoc sp. K16. RNAcentral's name for it is "bacterial SSU rRNA". It matches the Rfam family "Bacterial small subunit ribosomal RNA", at positions 384 to 793 of the family's 1533-position model. The record is from RNAcentral. Lineage: Bacteria; Bacillati; Cyanobacteriota; Cyanophyceae; Nostocales; Nostocaceae.
CAUUCAGGAAAUACCGCGUGAGGGAGGAGGCUCUUGGGUCGUAACCUCUUUUCUCAGGGAAGAACACAAUGACGGUACCUGAGGAAUAAGCAUCGGCUAACUCCGUGCCAGCAGCCGCGGUAAUACGGAGGAUGCAAGCGUUAUCCGGAAUGAUUGGGCGUAAAGCGUCCGCAGGUGGCAAUGUAAGUCUGCUGUUAAAGAGUCUAGCUCAACUAGAUAAGAGCAGUGGAAACUACAUAGCUAGAGUACGUUCGGGGCAGAGGGAAUUCCUGGUGUAGCGGUGAAAUGCGUAGAGAUCAGGAAGAACACCGGUGGCAAAGGCGCUCUGCUAGGCCGUAACUGACACUGAGGGACAAAAUUUAGCCGACGGAAUGGCCUCCAUUGCCCAAGAUUUUCCCAACUC